AUUGAACGCUGGCGGCAGGCUUAACACAUGCAAGUCGAGCGGGGUGAUGGUGCUUGCACUAUCACUUAGCGGCGGACGGGUGAGUAAUGCUUAGGAAUCUGCCUAUUAGUGGGGGACAACAUCUCGAAAGGGAUGCUAAUACCGCAUACGUCCUACGGGAGAAAGCAGGGGAUCACUUGUGACCUUGCGCUAAUAGAUGAGCCUAAGUCGGAUUAGCUAGUUGGUGGGGUAAAGGCCUACCAAGGCGAAGAUCUGUAGCGGGUCUGAGAGGAUGAUCCGCCACACUGGGACGGAGACGCGGCCCAGACUCCUACGGGAGGCAGCAGUGGGGAAUAUGGGACAAUGGGGGGAACCCUGAUCCAGCCAUGCCGCGUGUGUGAAGAAGGCCUUAUGGUUGUAAAGCACUUUAAGCGAGGAGGAGGCUCUUUUGGUUAAUACCCAAGAUGAGUGGACGUUACUCGCAGAAUAAGCACCGGCUAACUCUGUGCCAGCCGCCGCGGUAA
This 503-nucleotide ribosomal RNA is filed under the name uncultured bacterium. RNAcentral describes it as "partial 16S ribosomal RNA". It matches the Rfam family "Bacterial small subunit ribosomal RNA", at positions 30 to 523 of the family's 1533-position model. The record is from RNAcentral.